CGUAAAUUUCGAGUAUUGGCCAGGGUUCGAUUCCCAGGCCCUCAUUCCAUCAGGUAGGGUUAGGGAGGAGAGCUCUUCCAUCGCCCGGCACGAAUGUCGCCCGGGACGAUCUACCUCGAUGUCCCGGAGUCGCCAUCGCUCGAUAGCACAGAAACCACGGCCGAUGCCGAUGUGGUAGCAGUAGCAGCGGCGGGGUCAGCGGCGUCGUCGGUAGGAGCAUCCUCCGCGCCUCCCUCGGCCUCUUGCGGAUCAUCCAAGUCGUGCUCCAAAUCCACUAGCAGCGUCCACGAGCUCCUUGAAUGCCCGGUUUGCACGAACUCGAUGUAUCCUCCCAUCCACCAGUGUCCAAAUGGCCACACUCUGUGCUCUACUUGUAAAGUCCGCGUCCACAAUCGCUGCCCAACUUGCCGAUACGAGCUGGGAAACAUUCGCUGCUUGGCUCUGGAGAAGGUUGCGGAAUCGCUGGAACUUCCUUGUAGGUACCAGGGACUUGGAUGCCCCGACAUCUUUCCAUACUACAGCAAGCUCAAGCACGAAGCGCAGUGUUGCUUCCGGCCUUACGGCUGCCCCUACGCGGGAUCCGAGUGCUCCAUCAGUGGCAACAUUCCAACGCUGGUUGCUCACUUGCGCGACGAUCACAAGGUGGACAUGCACAAUGGUUGCACCUUCAACCAUCGCUAUGUCAAGUCCAAUCCACAGGAAGUCGAGAAUGCUACCUGGAUGCUCACGGUUUUCAACUGUUACGGACAGCACUUCUGCCUACACUUUGAGGCGUUUCAGCUCGGGACAAUGCCAGUUUACAUGGCUUUUUUGAGAUUCAUGGGGGACGACAACGAUGCCAAGAACUUCAGCUACAGCCUCGAGGUAGGCGCCAAUGGCAGGAAAUUGAUGUGGCAGGGUGUCCCGAGAAGCAUUCGGGACUGCCACAAGAAAGUGAGGGACAGCCAUGACGGAUUGAUAAUCCAGAGAAACAUGGCCUUGUUUUUCUCCGGGGGUGACAGGAAGGAGCUAAAGCUGAGGGUGACAGGCAGAAUUUGGAGGGAGCAGUAAAAGAGCUUUUGGGCAGCGAAGCCAAAGUGGGACUGGAUGGGAGAGCUCUAGCAACUUCAAUUUCAUGCUUUUGAAAUUGCUGCAAAGGUGGGGUGGGGAGAAUAGCUAUUACUCAGCACAGUGUAGAUUUAUUGGCUGUAGUUUCAUAUCAAAGGUAUCCAAACCUGUGAAGGCUUGAAGGAACUCUUGAAUUGUGUACAAACAAAUAAACUGCACCUUGAUAUGUUUUUAAUCACGAAUUACUUUCAUUUUGCUA
RNA transcript from Selaginella moellendorffii, 1306 nucleotides. It is a transcript of the gene named putative E3 ubiquitin-protein ligase SINAT1, with no coding region annotated. Lineage: Eukaryota; Viridiplantae; Streptophyta; Lycopodiopsida; Selaginellales; Selaginellaceae. The record is from RefSeq and is a predicted model, not a curated record. The transcript has 4 exons.